This 874-nucleotide ribosomal RNA is filed under the name uncultured Clostridium sp. RNAcentral describes it as "bacterial SSU rRNA". It matches the Rfam family "Bacterial small subunit ribosomal RNA", at positions 36 to 919 of the family's 1533-position model. The record is from RNAcentral. Lineage: Bacteria; Bacillati; Bacillota; Clostridia; Eubacteriales; Clostridiaceae.
CGGGCGGCGGUGGCCUAUACUGCAAGUCGAGCGGGGUUUAUGGGUAGCUUGCUACAGAUAAACCAAGCGGCGGACGGGUGAGUAACGCGUGGGCAACCUGCCCUCUAGCCUGGGAUAACAGCGCGAAAGUGCUGCUAACACCGGAUAUGCUCACAGGGAGACAUCUCCCAGUGAGGAAAGUUUACACUAGAGGAUGGGCCCGCGUCCCAUUAGCUAGUUGGUGAGGUAACGGCCCACCAAGGCGACGAUGGGUAGCCGACCUGAGAGGGUGAUCGGCCACACUGGGACUGAGACACGGCCCAGACUCCUACGGGAGGCAGCAGUAGGGAAUUUUCCGCAAUGGGCGCAAGCCUGACGGAGCAACGCCGCGUGAGGGAUGAAGGUUUUCGGAUCGUAAACCUCUGUCUUCAGGGACGAUAAUGACGGUACCUGAGGAGGAAGCCACGGCUAACUACGUGCCAGCAGCCGCGGUAAUACGUAGGUGGCGAGCGUUGUCCGGAAUUACUGGGCGUAAAGGGCGUGUAGGCGGCCUUUUAAGUCAGAUGUGAAAUCUCAGGGCUUAACCCUGAAACUGCAUUUGAAACUGGAGGGCUUGAGGAUCGGAGAGGGCAGUGGAAUUCCCAGUGUAGCGGUGAAAUGCGUAGAUAUUGGGAGGAACACCAGUGGCGAAGGCGACUGCCUGGACGACACCUGACGCUGAGGCGCGAAAGCUAGGGGAGCGAACGGGAUUAGAUACCCCGGUAGUCCUAGCCGUAAACGAUGGGUACUAGGUGUGGGAGGUAUCGACCCCUUCCGUGCCGCAGUUAACACAUUAAGUGCCCCGCCUGGGGAGUACGGCCGCAAGGCUAAAACUUCAAAGGGAAAUUGACCGCGC